Non-coding RNA from Sesamum indicum (sesame), 1129 nucleotides. The record is from RefSeq and is a predicted model, not a curated record. NCBI's taxonomy places the organism in Eukaryota, Viridiplantae, Streptophyta, Magnoliopsida, Lamiales, Pedaliaceae.
AGUAUGAAAUAUCAGUUCUAUUUGCGCCUAUCCAACUCACAACAAACGUAGCUCUAAGAUCUUGACAAGAAUCCGCCACGGGUUAAUAACUGUAUGAUAUUUCGAUAUCACCUUGCUUAACCACUCUAUCCACAGUCCACUCUCUGCUCUCCGUCACCUCCACUGUGGGUAAAAAUGGCGUCGACCAGUGCCCUUACUUCUCAGUUCCCAAAAUCUAUGCCGACCUCAGACAGAUUAAAGACCAACUCAUCUCCAGUUGGCAUAUGCAUUUUAUCUCGAUCUUGUCAUCAGAAGCUCAUCGAAAAACGACAACCUAUUCAAAUUUGCUGUCUAUUCGGUGGAAAGAAAGAUAACAGCGAAAAGAGCGAAGAUGCACCUUCAAAGGCAGGUAUUCUGGGAGGAAUGCAGAAUUUGUAUGAGACUGUUAAGAAGGCACAAAUGGUUGUUCAGGUUGAGGCAGUAAGAGUGCAAAAAGAACUUGCAGUAGCAGAGUUCGAUGGUUACUGUGAAGGAGAGCUCAUUAAGGUAACUCUAUCUGGUAACCAACAACCUAUACGCACUGAAAUUACAGAGGCUGCAAUGGAGUUAGGACCUGAAAAACUUUCGCUUUUGAUCAACGAGGCGUACAAAGAUGCACAUCAGAAGAGUGUCCUUGCCAUGAAGGAAAGAAUGAGUGAUCUUGCUCAGAGCUUAGGAAUGCCUCCCGGCCUGGGCGAGGGGCUUAAGCAAUGACUUCUUUCAGAGGCAUACAAUGAGGAGAGCUUCAGUUUGUGCACUAGCGAAAGAAAGAAAAUAAGGGGGUGUUUCCAGACAUGAAUACCUGUCCUUUUGUCCCCAGAAUCCUUGAGAUUGGAGCUUGUGUUUGUGUAAGAAAAACCAACGCCAGCCGGUGAUUCAAGAAAAAGAAUAUUUGCCACUGUAAGUACGCAAUGUUCAGACAGGUAAAUGUGUGUUCCUCUGCUGUAACUAUUACCGGGAUUGGUUUAAAUUAAUUGUCGCUUUAUUGGUUUAAAUAACACGUUAGAUCUACAUAGCAAAUGAUUUCAAUUUACUAUUAUCUGUUGACUGUUCUCAUUACCUCUAUUCCACGAGUAUUUGUUCAAAUACAACGACGAGCCGGUCUUGUUUA